CUACGGGUUGCUCCAGUGAGGAAUUUUGCGCAAUGGGGGAAACCCUGACGCAGCAACGCCGCGUGAGUGAAGAAGGCUUUCGGGUCGUAAAGCUCUGUCAAGUGGGAAAAAACGCCUUCGAUUAAUAGUCGGAGGAAUUGAUGGUACCACUAAAGGAAGCACCGGCUAACUCCGUGCCAGCAGCCGCGGUAAUACGGAGGUGCAAGCGUUGUUCGGAAUUACUGGGCGUAAAGCGCGUGCAGGCGGUUUGGUAAGUCAGGCGUGAAAGCCCCGGGCUCAACCCGGGAAGUGCGUUUGAAACUACCAUACUUGAGUAUGGGAGAGGAGAGUGGAAUUCCCAGUGUAGAGGUGAAAUUCGUAGAUAUUGGGAGGAACAUCCGUGGCGAAGGCGACUCUCUGGACCAAUACUGACGCUGAGACGCGAAAGCGUGGGGAGCAAACAGGAUUAGAUACCCCCGUAGUC
This 463-nucleotide ribosomal RNA is filed under the name uncultured bacterium. Its description in RNAcentral is "partial 16S ribosomal RNA". It matches the Rfam family "Bacterial small subunit ribosomal RNA", at positions 339 to 795 of the family's 1533-position model. The record is from RNAcentral.